Molecule: long non-coding RNA, 1147 nt
Organism: Sarcophilus harrisii (Tasmanian devil)
Lineage: Eukaryota; Metazoa; Chordata; Mammalia; Dasyuromorphia; Dasyuridae
Exons: 2
Source: RefSeq, a predicted model, not a curated record
GACCACCCCCAGAAUGCCCCGGGGCCCCUGCCACUGAUCACUCCCAGAAUGCCCCGGGACCCCUGCCACUGACCACCCCCAGAAUGCCCCGGGGCCCCUGCCACUGACCACCCCCAGAAUGCCCGGGGCCCCUGCCACUGACCACCCCCAGAAUGCCCCGGGGCCCCUGCCACUGACCACCCCCAGAAUGCCCCGGGGCCCCCGUCACUGAGGGGACCACCCCCAGAAUGCCCCGGGGCCCCUGCCACUGACGGGACCACCCCCAGAAUGCCCCGGGGCCCCUGUCACUGAGGGGACCACCCCCAGAAUGCCCCGGGGCCCCUGCCACUGACCACCCCCAGAAUGCCCCGGGGCCCCUGCCACUGACCACUCCCAGAAUGCCCCGGGGCCCCUGCCACUGACCACCCCCAGAAUGCCCGGGACCCCUGCCACUGGGGGGACCAUUCCCAGAAUGCCCCGGGGCCCCUGCCACUGACCACCCCCAGAAUGCCCGGGACCCCUGCCACUGGGGGGACCAUUCCCAGAAUGCCCUGGAUAGAUGAGGACCCUCAGAAUGCAGGGGCCCCCUAGAAUGCACUGGUUCUUUGGCAAGAGGUGAUGAUUACGAUUAAUGAUGGGGGGGGGGCUGAAAGCCAUUCCCCCAGAAAGCUCUGUGGCUGCUGCCUGGCCCUUCCCAGGGCUACUAGCAGAGGGCUCUGUAAGGAAGGAUUGGCCACUACCAGAUCUGCUUCUUGGCUCAGGCCCGGUUAUUCAUGACACAUAACCAGGGGUUUUAUUCCAUCUAGUGUUGGGGGUCUCAGCUGCCUAGAUUUGGGGAGCAGCCAGUGUAUUAAAGGCAAUUAAUCAGAAAGAAAAAGCUAUUUUUAAAAUUUUUCUUCCUCUUUUUGGUGAUUCCCAAGUAGCUCCCCCAGGCAAUUCUGCUCCGACACUGGAAAAGUGGGGACCGAGACCUGAAAUAGGGGUGAAAGGGUUUUCCCUUGGAAAGCUUCAGAUGAAUUCUGCUAUAACUGAACCAGGAGCAACACAUUCUAGAAUGGCUUCUGCUUUACUCUUGUUGGCAUUCUUAGGGGUAUACUCAGGACAAAGAGAAAGAACGCACACCAGCACAACAGUGAACUUAGAACUCAUGACAGUCAGAGCAGUAUAC